RNAcentral lists this long non-coding RNA (5757 nucleotides) under Lynx pardinus (Iberian lynx). Lineage: Eukaryota; Metazoa; Chordata; Mammalia; Carnivora; Felidae. The record is from RNAcentral.
UAUAAGUUGAACUAGGUGAGCACCAGUGGGGUGGAUGUUGGGGUGUGUGAUCCCAACAUGGGAACAAUUCAUGUAACAGGACAUGCCUCUGAUUGCACGUGCUGGAUUUCUCAGCAACAAGGAAAAUAGGGCUAAUGUCCAGCAAGAUUCACAGCCAUCCCAGAAUAUUAAAUGGCACAAAUAAUAAAUGUGAGGCUCGUAAUAAAAUGUGCAUCCAUCAUUGAAUUGAGGCCCUGCAUGAUCCCUGGAAGGAAGCCCUCGGGAGUGUGGUGUUGUCUUCCUGUGACACCCUGGGAGAUAUGAGUUAAAUGCAGGUGGAGUUUUGUGGCCAGUUAGAGUGGCAAUCAGAAUAUCUGGCAACCACAAAUGCAGAUAUAGAAGGAUCUGGCAAAGAGAAACCCGUGGGCCAGUUGGAGGAGAGCAGGUGCGCGUACUGGAAGUCAGCAGGUGGUGACAAGGGGGCUUCCUGUAUUAGGUGUCCAUGGAGGCAGCAGGCAGUGGCGUGUGUCUUUUGACUUUAACAACUUCGUAUUCAUAUAAAGUACUUGAUGAAGACACCUGGAUUAGUUUACACAAUAUUGCAAAACUUGACCUUUGUCAGACUGUUCAGGAGGCCCGUAGUAUGAUCUGUGAAUCACAUUUAUGUUUCUAUUGAGGAUGGUUUUUGUUUCGUUAAAAUAGCACAAAAGAUAUUUGCCUCUCAUUCAAUUACUGAUAUAAGCAUAACUGAUAUAAGCCUUUUCAUUUUAUACAUUUUUUUCAGGAGAAACACCCCACUGUCACCUGUUUGAAUGACUCCUUCUCCACAUCAGCAGGCUUUCCAACCCUACUUGCUUGGGUUCCUAGAACGCGCUGGGAACACUCCCCUCCCUGAUUUCCAUAUGGGUCACUUUCAAGCUCCGUUCUGAUCGUGGAAUUUAAAACCAUAACUCCUUAGUGUGAAUUACCAUCUGACAUGCUGUGUGUUUUACUUAGCUAUCUACUCAUUCCCUACAUCGUCUCUUCCCAACUUAGAAUUAAGAUCCACGAAGGUAGGAAUUUUUGUUUUGUCCAGUGAUGAGCUCUCAGGAUUGAGACUAGUGCUAGCAACAGGGGAGGCUGUCACUAAGCAUAUGUGGAAUUAACUGAUGAACAAAGAAACGAAUUACCACCCAUCCACCAAGCCAAAGUGUGAACAUUUUUUUUUUUUUGACAGGAAAGAGGAUUUAUUGGUGGGCAUGAAUAAGGAGGGGGAAACACCAAAGCUCUCAUGAGUGCAGAGCAUGCCUCCUGUCCCGGGGGCUGUGAUGAGAGAUAUAUUUGACUCCGCAGCCAUCUGGGAUGAGCUGCUUUCCAGCCACUUUGUCUUGAAAUUUGUCUGUGUUAACUUAGCAAUGCCCCACUUCUUGGAGCUGUGGAUCUAGGGAGUGACGGAAGGAAUAGGAACAGAAAGCCCGGACACUGGGGCAAGGAAAGGCAGGAAGGAACAAAGCCACAGCACAACUCAUCUUCUGGUGGUCAGGGAGCUUGAAUUUGGCCCUGUGUAGAGCCUCAGUCACAUGCUCCUUGUUCUACAGGUUAGUGAGGAUGGACGUGGUGACUUGGCCAAUGUGGACCCUGGCCGCUGUGCUCUGGGGUUUUCCCAGCAACACCCAGGUGUCUACAUUAAACUUUAUAUGGAUCCAGGUGUCUUGGUUAAGGUCAGACAUGACUGUCCACUGGAAAGGGCUAUCUCCAGGGUCCCUCUUGGCAACCCAUGCAAUCAACAGGCUGUAGACGCCACCAAGGAGGCCGCUGUCUGCAGCCGUCGGUCACUGGGUCCCUGCGGGCAAAGAGCUUGCCUGGUUGCAGACAGAGCGUGAAAAUUCUUAAAUUUGCCAGCUUGGUUCUUGCUGCUUCUUCCUCACAAAUUGAGGCCAAGAAACAGACGAGUUUUUUUUUUUUCAGUUUUUUUUCAGGUUAUUCCCUAGAAACUUUGAAAAUACCCCAAAUACCAGUAGUGCUUGGGAUAGAACAAAGCCUCCAUGAAUUUGAGCAGGUUUAAGACUUCAAUGCUGACUUCGGGUGAUGUGAAGCUUGCCGUUACUCUCAUGUUUAAUAUUUCCCUUCACCAAAUACAUGAUGUGGUAGUUUCAGUUCAGAAAAGCAACGUGUUCCUAUGUCAUCAAGAUCUUUAAAAAGCACUGUAAAGAAACCAAAGCGUGGGUUUUUGGCAAAGGCACCCACACAACGUAACGAAACUCAUUUUAUUAGCUCUUCACUAGACGAGAAGUAAUGGCCAUUUUGCGGGAGCUCAUUAAGAUAAGUGGAGAUUGUAGUCAGCCUCAUGCUCGAGGGGGCCCCCAGGGGAACUUACAACGGCAAUGUCUCCCCUUUAUGGACCUCCCAGCACCAGACUCUAAGCAAUAAUGCAUCUCGUGGUUGGCAGUGAACUGGCUUCUUCCUGGAAACUGCCCCAAAAUUCGCGUUGAUGAUUUUGCCCAUUCUGUGCUGAAACAGGCACUUCAUGGCACACUGAAGGCUCCUUUUAUUGGCCUUACUGUACCACUUACUUGUUGUUAUUUUAGAAAUUUUACUGAACUCUUUCGAACCCUCCAAACAGGGGCAUUACUAACAGUGUGUCGCUGCAAAGUUCGGAGAGCAGACUCCAAGAUUCCCGGAGGUACGGCUCAGGACUGAUUCCUUCCAGCCCUUUCUUUUCCCAGGCAGGCCUCCUUCCUUCCCUGCCAUCUUCAUAUCUGUGCCAGGACCCGAGGGAAAGACCGGUAAAAGUAAGGGGAUGACUUCUCAUCCACGUAAUUGGCUUUAGGGUUAUUCGGGGGGCAGAGACAAAGAAGGAGUCAUCACUCAGGCAGUGACAUUAGCAGCCAAGGGUGUUGCAGCCAAGACCAGUCAUUGCGGAAACCAGCACAGGCUGGAGGUACCAGGAACUGAUAACCAGCAAAGUCAAGAGAGCCUGAAUAAGGGGCUAAUAAUCCCUGGGACCAGAGAAGCCAGCAACCGGACCCAAGGCUGGUGACACCCACUGACAAGGGGGGAGUCCUACAGCCACCUCUCCGAUUCUCCACGACCCUCCCACAUCUGACCACGUGUGAGAGCUGGCCCCCAAGGCUCUGCCCGACUGAUCUCUGAACAUAACAGAGAUCGUCCACUGCUCAAACACAGGAAGUGGUAAGCGUGGAGAGAGGAAGCUCCACCUCAGCUCUACGCCCACGGACUGACUUCACGUUUGGUUGGUUAACUACUCCCCCCACCCCCGCCCCUUGUUGUAUCUUGUUUGUUGGGUGACUUCGUCUUGUGCUUUGCUUUGUGUGACGUGUAUGAAGCCAAGUUAAAUGCUUGGUGAAAUGUCAUUGACUUUGGAAUCCUAAACCAGAUUUAUAAUUAUGUUAAAUUUGCUUUUUGACUGAAUAAUGUUGACAUUGUUGAAAGAUACAACUCAUGUGUGUGACUGCAUAGAAUGUUCGUGAUCCGGGUAGAACUCUGGCUCACUUCCCUCCUACAGCACACAAGCCCUGGGCCAGUGGGGGCAGUCCUUCAGAACACCAAGCUCUUUGGGGCGCCUGGGUGGCUCAGUUGGUUAAACGUCUGACUCUUGAUUUCUGCUCAGUUCAUGAGCCCCGUUGAGCUCUGAGUUGAGUGUGGAGGCUGCUUGGAAUUCUUCCUCCCCCUCUCUCUGCCCUACUGCUCGUGCUCUCUCUCUUUCUUAAAAUAAAUGAAUAAACUUAAAAAAAAGAGUACGAAGCUCUCAGCAUAGUGAUCACUUGAAACCAAAAAUAUUAAAUACAUUAAGUUUUACUAUGUAAAUUAUUUCAUCAUCUAUAUCUUGAAGCAUAAUAUUGAGAUUUAUUUGUUGAAAGAAUAAAUGAGUGAAUUCUAGGGGACAUAGUAAAACAUUCUUUUUAAAGUUGUGUUUUUAAGGAAAUAAUUUCUUUUAUUUGGAUGAAAUAUGGUAUUAAAUCCCAUCUUUUCUGAUCACUAAUCACUAUUUAUUUACGGCUUGUUUUGCUUAAAAUAUGUGUUCCUAAUUAUUUUCCUUUUCAAAUAUUAAUUUCUGAUAGUAUAAAGUUUCCAUUUUUGGGUGCCUGGGUGGCUCAGUCUGUUAAGCGUCCGACUCCGACUCAGGUCAUGAUCUUGCAGUUUGUUGAGUCCAAGCCCUGAGAUGGGCUCUGUGUUGACGGCUCCGGAGCCUGGAGCCUGCUUCCGAUUCUGUGUCUCCCUCUCUCUCUGCCCUUCCCCCACUUGUGCUCUGUCUCUCUGUCUCUAAAAAAAACAACAUUAAAAAAGGUUUAUACAGUUUCCAUUUUCUGUGAAUAUACCAUAUUGAAUCAGUUGUUAGAGUAUUGUCCUGAAUGAGAGAAAAUCCAUAUCAGUAUUAUCAUGGGAAAAAGUGGUACAUCCAGAAAUUAAUCAAUACACUUUUUGCAAGUUUCUUUUUGAUCUAACCCAAGAAACUUUUCUGUAGUAAAUAUUAACUUUCUGAAAAACUGAUCCCCCAAAGAAUUAAAUGUGGGGAGAUCACAUGGGCCAGGACACCUAGUACAGACUUUGGGGUUCACACAGAUGCCAAUCGAGAAUGCGCUUCCUGUGUUGGGCUGUCAGCUUCCUGAGGCUGGGCUGGCCCCACACCACGGCCUCCCCCUGAUAUGCAGAGCUUCCCACCUUGUGGUUGUGAUGAGGAUUAAAUAGGCUAAUGUAUGGAAAGCACUUGGAAUAGUUCCUGGAGCACUGCAAGGACUCAGAAAAUAGUAGUUAAUUAGGGGCACCUGGGUGGCUCAGUCGGUUGAGCCUCCGACUUCGGCUCAGGUCACGAUCUCACAGUUCAUGAGUUCAAGCCCCGCAUCGGGCUCUGUACUGAUGGCUCGGAGCCUGGAGCCUGCUUCGGAUUCUGUGUCUCCCCCUCUCUGCCCCUCCCCUGCUCAUGCUCUGUCUCAAAAAUAAAUAAACAUUUUUAAAAAAUUAAAAAAAAAGAAAAUAGUAGUGAAUUAGAUUAUGAAGAUGAUGGUGAUGGUGGUGAUGGUGAUGACGAUAGUGACGUUCCAGGCCCCUGCGACAAGUCGUCAGAAAUUAUUGCUUGGAGUAUUUUCUAAAGACCAAUGAUUUCCAGUCUGGGUGAUGCCUGAAACUCAUGACUCUACCAGGAAAACACACUUGUGACUUCCCACGUGGACAAUAGUAUGUACCGUCUGCUGUGCUCUAGAUACUGUUUCAUCGUUUACUUUUCAUAAUGACGUGAAUGGCUGUGGCUCUUCAUGCCGCGUCAGGGAGCUGCCCACUCUGCCCUCACCCGUGAGGCUGCUUAAUGCUGUGCCAGCGGCCUGCCCUCCUCCCGCCUUCCGAGGAAGACCGACUCCCCCGGGCUCAAGGCUCCUUCUCACCAUCUUCUCUCCUCUCCGAUCUCCUCUCGGGUCCGUUUGUUGCCUUUUUCUCUUGUGUUUUCAAGUCACCCUGUACCGGAGUCCUUUCCCUCACCACAGACCCGUGGCAUUUCACAACACGCUGGAGCGCACAGAUGUGUAUUGACCUGGUGUUCAUGCUCGUCACAACUUCCGAAUGCUUGCACUGCUCGAUCUUGCUGUUUAAUUUGUGGAUAAGGGAGCACACGUGUUACAUCAAUUCCGAUUUGUUUCUGCCAAAAUGCCAUUGAGAUUUUGAUAAGGAUUGCCUCGAAUCUACAGGUUGCUUUGGGUAGCAUGGACUUCUCACUGUGCUGUGUCUGGUUUAAAAAAAUUUUUUUUUAAUCUUUAUUUAUUUUUGAGAGACACAUGCACAGAGCAC